GAUGAACGCUAGCGGCAGGCCUAACACAUGCAAGUCGAGGGGUAACAUAGGAAAGCUUGCUUUUCUGAUGACGACCGGCGCACGGGUGCGUAACGCGUAUACAACCUACCUUUUAGCGGGAAUAGCCCAGGGAAACUUGGAUUAAUGCCCCAUAGUAUAUAGACUUCUCCUGAAGUUUAUAUUAAACAUUUAUGGCUAUUAGAUGGGUAUGCGUCCUAUUAGUUAGUUGGUAAGGUAACGGCUUACCAAGGCAGCGAUAGGUAGGGGUCCUGAGAGGGAGAUCCCCACACUGGUACUGAGACACGGACCAGACUCCUACGGGAGGCAGCAGUGAGGAAUAUUGGACAAUGGGCGAGAGCCUGAUCCAGCCAUGCCGCGUGCAGGAAGACUGCCCUAUGGGUUGUAAACUGCUUUUACAGAGGAAGAACCACCCCCACGUGUGGGGGUUUGACGGUACUCUGCGAAUAAGGAUCGGCUAACUCCGUG
Molecule: ribosomal RNA, 486 nt
Filed under: uncultured bacterium
Lineage: Bacteria
Description: bacterial SSU rRNA
Rfam family: Bacterial small subunit ribosomal RNA
Source: RNAcentral